RNAcentral lists this ribosomal RNA (556 nucleotides) under Canis aureus (golden jackal). RNAcentral's name for it is "partial large subunit ribosomal RNA". It matches the Rfam family "Bacterial large subunit ribosomal RNA", at positions 1847 to 2620 of the family's 2925-position model. The record is from RNAcentral. Lineage: Eukaryota; Metazoa; Chordata; Mammalia; Carnivora; Canidae.
UGCAGGCACUGCCUGCCCAGUGACACUUGUUUAACGGCCGCGGUAUCCUGACCGUGCAAAGGUAGCAUAAUCAUUUGUUCUCUAAAUAAGGACUUGUAUGAAUGGCCACACGAGGGUUUAACUGUCUCUUACUCCCAAUCAGUGAAAUUGACCUUCCCGUGAAGAGGCGGGAAUGCCACAAUAAGACGAGAAGACCCUAUGGAGCUUUAAUUAACUAACCCAAACUUAUGGAUACUAAAUACCUACAAGGCAUAACAUUACACCAUUAUUGUGGGUUAGCAAUUUAGGUUGGGGUGACCUCGGAAUAUAAAAAAACUCCCGAGUGAUUAAAAUUUAGACCCACAAGUCAAAAUAUAACAUCACUUAUUGAUCCAAUAAUUUUUGAUCAACGGAACAAGUUACCCUAGGGAUAACAGCGCAAUCCUAUUCAAGAGUCCAUAUCGACAAUAGGGUUUACGACCUCGAUGUUGGAUCAGGACAUCCUAAUGGUGCAGCAGCUAUUAAGGGUUCGUUUGUUCAACGAUUAAAGUCCUACGUGAUCUGAUUUCAGACCGGA